AAAUAGUCUUCUUACUGGAACAGUAGCAGCAUGAAUGAAUAGUGGCUUGUGGGUGAUUUUCUGAUUUUCAGGUUAGGGAGCAAAGGUGGACCUUGGGAAAUAAUCUGGUCAGAGAGUGAGUAAAGCACAGAUUUGACCAUGUAUAUUCAAUUGAUCUCAUACUGUCAAGUUAAAGAGGAAUUGAAGCUGGCUACAGCCUGCAGGCCACAUAGCCCUGGCCCCUGGGUAAUAGAAGACCUUUUGUAACAUUUAGCAAGGUAGCUGAUGUAGCUCUGUCGAAGUAUGUACACAGUAGACAUG
This 300-nucleotide long non-coding RNA is filed under the name Panicum hallii. RNAcentral describes it as "long non-coding RNA (PHAL_LNC000650)". The record is from RNAcentral. Lineage: Eukaryota; Viridiplantae; Streptophyta; Magnoliopsida; Poales; Poaceae.